RNAcentral lists this long non-coding RNA (1429 nucleotides) under Bos taurus (domestic cattle). RNAcentral describes it as "long non-coding RNA NONBTAT018396". Lineage: Eukaryota; Metazoa; Chordata; Mammalia; Artiodactyla; Bovidae. The record is from RNAcentral.
AUUGAUUAUGUGACCUAUGCAAUACAAAUUAUGGGAAUGGGCAGCUUUGGAGUAUAUAUCCCAUAAUUCUUUUUUCAGGAAUAGUUGCAGUAUUUACACAGCAGCAUUUCUUCUCAGGCUUUUAUUGGGUGCUGUUGCUUGCUAUGUAUGAAGAGAAAUGUGUCAAACAAGUUUAGUGUGUUCUGAAGAAGGGUGUGAACAACAGUGUUCAUGGGCUUUUUCGAAUGCUUUUCAUUAUCAGUCCUUGUAACUCAGCUGUUCAGUACCUAAAACAAAUUCAAAUAGUAUGAACAUUAUCUCCUACUAGAAGUAACGUUUUCAAAUUUUCAUGGCACAUUAUGAUUGUAAAUGUCUCUCAGUUUUAACAGUAAGUCUGUAGGAAUCCCGUGAAGAUUCCUGAAAUGUCUGUAGUAACUGUUAGUCAUGUUGAAUAAGUGUAGUAUGAACAAAGUAUUUUAUUGCACAGGGUUAACAAACAGUGUUGCCUGCGAGGCAGCUGCUGUUUUAUUACAACAUUACCUCUUGUUUUUAUGAAAUGUACCAAGAUUUAAAUUGAUAACUUUAUUUUACAUGUGUUUAAAAAAAAAAAACAAAAACAGUUUCUUUUAUCACCAGUGUUAGAGUUGUCUUCUGUUUCUUUUUGUUUUGUUUAUUUGUUUUAUUUUUUAGCCAAAGAGUAAACAGAAGAAUAUUCUUAUUUUGGUGGCUAUUCAUUUUACUCUUAAAAGUGAUUGAUGGAUUUUAGCCUAAAAAUUGGAGAGUUUGCCACCAAAAUGAAAAAUAUGUAAAGUGUAGUGAUUACAGAGCGGUUAAAAAUGUGGGUUAGUGCUUAUUUAUUCCAUUGAUUGAUUAUUUGACUGUUUAUAAGAAAGUUGCUUUAUUUCUUUAAACAUCUUCAAAAGAUGACCUUUUCUUGUCACAUUAUAGCCAAAAGAAGCAGAGAACUUCGUAGUCCUGCAUUUGGUUCCCUGGUUGGCCAGGUAUAAAUGAGCUUUACAAAAGUGCAAAUUAAGAACUGUCACUUCUGUUUACCUCCACCAAAACUUGAUUUUCCCCUAGCUAUUAAUUUAAAGUUGCCUUUCCUGCAGCUGCAAUAUUUUGAAUACACACAAGAGUUUGUGUUGAUUUUGAAUGUUUGUUUAUAUCUAGGGGUAAUGGAAAAUGUAAAUCCGGUGUAACCUUAUUCACUCCACCUGUAUCAUAUUAUUUCAUUUUCCCCAAAGUCCUUUAAUUCUAACUGAACACCAGCAGUAUUUUUAGUAAUUCUUUCUUUAGCAUACUUGGAAGAUGAUUUAUUAAGCUGAACUGUCUUUAGACGUAAUUAUUGUGAAUGUCUGUUUUAUUUUAUCAUGGUGGUUCACAUGGCUCUGAUGUUCAGUUUGUAUUUUUGGAAUUGCUUUACUUAGAAUUAAAACAGACGAACAUUAAA